This 256-nucleotide ribosomal RNA is filed under the name uncultured bacterium. Its description in RNAcentral is "partial 16S ribosomal RNA". It matches the Rfam family "Bacterial small subunit ribosomal RNA", at positions 793 to 1055 of the family's 1533-position model. The record is from RNAcentral.
GUCCACGCCUAACGAUGUCAACUGGUUGUUGGACGGCUUGCUGUUCAGUAACGAAGCUAACGCGUGAAGUUGACCGCCUGGGAGUACGGCCGCAAGGUUGAACUCAAGGAAUUGACGGGACCCGCACAAGCGGUGGAUGAUGUGGUUUAAUUCGAUGCAACGCGAAACCUUACCUACCCUUGACAUGUCAAGAAUCUUGCAGAGAUGUGAGAGUGCUCGAAAGAGAACUUGAACACAGGUGCUGCAUGGCCGUCGU